CCACAUGGUAAAAAUGUUGCAAGUAGUUUAUAUCCACAUCCCUCAGCUUUAGCCCUCCUGGAAAAGGCCAUGUUCACUUGUCACACAUCCCUAAGUUAUAUCUGAACUCCUUGAAUUUCUUUAAGUCCCAAAACCUCAAUAUGCUAAAUGCAGUUUACAAGGGUGGAUAGUGAUAAGACAAGGGGGAAUGGUUUUAAACUGAGACAGGGGAGGUUUAGGUUGGAUAUUAGGAAGACGUUUUUCACACAGAGGGUGGUGAGGCACUGGAGCAGGUUGCCCAAGG
Molecule: long non-coding RNA, 283 nt
Filed under: Gallus gallus (chicken)
Lineage: Eukaryota; Metazoa; Chordata; Aves; Galliformes; Phasianidae
Source: RNAcentral